This 240-nucleotide ribosomal RNA is filed under the name Triticum aestivum (bread wheat). Its description in RNAcentral is "partial small subunit ribosomal RNA". Lineage: Eukaryota; Viridiplantae; Streptophyta; Magnoliopsida; Poales; Poaceae. The record is from RNAcentral.
GGCGGCAAAUGCAAAGUGAGCUGGCCAGAGGUUUGCACUUCGAUCGACAACGGUGGCCUUGGCAUCUCCAACUUACAAUGAUUCAGUCGCGCACUCAGGCUCCGAUGGCUGUGGUUCUCCUGGCUCACACCAAACAGGCCCUGGGUGGGCAUGCAGCUGCCUUGUGAUCAAGGAGACAGAGAGCUUUUCAAUGCCUCAACAAUAGUGACGCUAGGGGAUGGAAAAAUGACCAACUUCUAG